This 253-nucleotide ribosomal RNA is filed under the name uncultured bacterium. RNAcentral describes it as "partial 16S ribosomal RNA". It matches the Rfam family "Bacterial small subunit ribosomal RNA", at positions 524 to 776 of the family's 1533-position model. The record is from RNAcentral.
UACGGGGGGAGCGAGCAUUAUUCAAAAUGAUUAGGCGUAAAGAGUUUGUAGGUGGUUUUUUAAAUUGAAAAAAAAAAAUAAAGCUCAACUUUAUAAAUUUUUUCAAAACUGAAAAACUUGAGUAUAAAUAGAAGAUAAUAGAAUUUCUAUUGUAAGGAUAAAAUCUGUUGAUAAUAGAAAGAAUACCUAAGGCGAAAGCUAUUAUCUAGGUAUAUACUGACAUUGAGAAACGAAAGCUUGGGUAGCGAACGGG